GAGAUAUUUUCCAGCUGGUUUUGAGGAAGUGAGCUGCCAUGUACUAGGCCACGUGGCAAGGGCCUGGUUGGGGACCUCCAGGGGUUGAGAGCAUCCUCUGGACAACAUGGAAAAAGAAAAUGAAAAUGGUGACCUCAGCCCUAUAGCUAGAAGGAAUUGAAUCCUGUCAACAACGAUACUCAUCACUCACUGCAGAUGUUACUUUAAGACAUUCUGGAGCAGCGUCAUGUGCAGGAGAAAAUAGUAUCAUCUCAGCCUUCUAUGAAAUCAAGGCAAUAUUCAUGUGAAAGUAUAUUCCAAACCCAGAACCUGAGCACAGAUUGGGACUGAGAAACACUUGUCUAGAUUGUCAGGCAAUCUGUAACAUCAGCAGUGGAUGGAAAGAAGGAGAAAGAUGAGUUUUAUGGACGCUAACCCAUCUAUAUGGCUUUGGAAAAUAAAGUACUGCUGUUUUUUUUUGUAAA
Molecule: long non-coding RNA, 464 nt
Filed under: Homo sapiens (human)
Lineage: Eukaryota; Metazoa; Chordata; Mammalia; Primates; Hominidae
Description: HSALNT0325553
Source: RNAcentral